This 468-nucleotide ribosomal RNA is filed under the name uncultured bacterium. Its description in RNAcentral is "partial 16S ribosomal RNA". It matches the Rfam family "Bacterial small subunit ribosomal RNA", at positions 28 to 507 of the family's 1533-position model. The record is from RNAcentral.
GACGAACGCUGGCGGCGUGCUUAACACAUGCAAGUCGAACGGAAAGGCCCUGCUUUUGUGGGGUGCUCGAGUGGCGAACGGGUGAGUAACACGUGAGCAACCUGCCCUUGACUUUGGGAUAACUUCAGGAAACUGGGGCUAAUACCGGAUAGGAGCUCCUGCUGCAUGGUGGGGGUUGGAAAGUUUCGGCGGUUGGGGAUGGACUCGCGGCUUAUCAGCUUGUUGGUGGGGUAGUGGCUUACCAAGGCUUUGACGGGUAGCCGGCCUGAGAGGGUGACCGGCCACAUUGGGACUGAGAUACGGCCCAGACUCCUACGGGAGGCAGCAGUGGGGAAUAUUGCACAAUGGGCGGAAGCCAGAUGCAGCAACGCCGCGUGCGGGAUGACGGCCUUCGGGUUGUAAACCGCUUUCGCCUGUGACGAAGCGUGAGUGACGGUAAUGGGUAAAGAAGCACCGGCUAACUACGUG